GGAUCCAGACUUUGAUCAUGGCUCAGAUUGAACGCUGGCGGCAGGCCUAACACAUGCAAGUCGAGCGGAAACGGCAACACUGACUCUUCGGAUGAUUUGUUGGACGUCGAGCGGCGGACGGGUGAGUAAUGCUUAGGAAUUUGCCCAGUCGAGGGGGAUAACUAUUGGAAACGAUAGCUAAUACCGCAUACGCCCUACGGGGGAAAAGAGGGGACCUUCGGGCCUUCUGCGAUUGGAUAAGCCUAAGUGAGAUUAGCUAGUUGGUGAGGUAAUGGCUCACCAAGGCGACGAUCUCUAGCUGGUCUGAGAGGAUGAUCAGCCACACUGGAACUGAGACACGGUCCAGACUCCUACGGGAGGCAGCAGUGGGGAAUAUUGCACAAUGGGCGCAAGCCUGAUGCAGCCAUGCCGCGUGUGUGAAGAAGGCCUUCGGGUUGUAAAGCACUUUCAGCAGUGAGGAAGGUGGUAGUGUUAAUAGCACUAUUAUUUGACGUUAGCUGCA
RNAcentral lists this ribosomal RNA (502 nucleotides) under uncultured bacterium. RNAcentral's name for it is "bacterial SSU rRNA". It matches the Rfam family "Bacterial small subunit ribosomal RNA", at positions 1 to 483 of the family's 1533-position model. The record is from RNAcentral.